GGAUGAUAAAAGGGCAAUGAUAGUCCUCUGGCUACUUUCUGCUGAUUGGGGACUUGAGAAGAGGAGUCUAGAAUGCUGGUCUAAAAUAGGGCCUUAAGCCAGCAGCAACCAUCCACAGAAGGCACUGUCAACAGGAAAUUUGGAGACAGCAUUAUUCUUCUGAAAAUUGGUGCUCAUCUGUAAACCAAUUUUUAUUAAAAUAGUUACUUGGACAGGAUCAGAUGUACCAUUAGAAAGUUGAACUUCUUGCCCUGAACUACAAUGGACACUAUUGCAGCCUUUGUCUUUACUUCUGGCUGUACUGCUUAAGGAACCAAUGGAUGACUCCAACUCUUGAUGAUAGCCUCCUAAAGCAUCUUGCAGAUACAUUUUGAUUGCAUGAUUUGGGGCUUAAUUUUUCACAGGCAACAACAUUCUUUGGGAAAAAAAAAGAAAGAAAAUUAAGAUCCAGUUUCACAUUUUCCCCUACAG
Grammomys surdaster is the source of this 471-nucleotide long non-coding RNA. RefSeq lists it as uncharacterized. NCBI's taxonomy places the organism in Eukaryota, Metazoa, Chordata, Mammalia, Rodentia, Muridae. The transcript is spliced from 5 exons. The record is from RefSeq and is a predicted model, not a curated record.